RNAcentral lists this ribosomal RNA (957 nucleotides) under uncultured Actinomycetes bacterium. Its description in RNAcentral is "bacterial SSU rRNA". It matches the Rfam family "Bacterial small subunit ribosomal RNA", at positions 1 to 941 of the family's 1533-position model. The record is from RNAcentral. Lineage: Bacteria; Bacillati; Actinomycetota; Actinomycetes.
GCAUCUAGAUUUGGCUCAGGACGAACGCUGACGGUGUGCUUUAGACAUGCAAGUCGAACGAGAAAGCCCUUCGGGGUGAGUACAGUGGCGAACGGGUGAGUAACACGUGGGCAAUCUGCCCCUCGCAGGGGGACAACCGGGGGAAACCCCGGCUAAUACCCCGUACGCUUGUUGAGUCGCAUGGCUCUUCAAGGAAAGGUAGCUUCGGCCAUCCGGCGAGGGAUGAGCCCGCGGUGCAUUAGCUAGUUGGUGAGGUAACGGCUCACCAAGGCGACGAUGCAUAGCUGGUCUGAGAGGAUGAUCAGCCACACUGGGACUGAGACACGGCCCAGACUCCUACGGGAGGCAGCAGUCGGGAAUCUUGCGCAAUGGGCGAAAGCCUGACGCAGCAACACCGUGUGAGCGACGAAGGCCUUAGGGUCGUAAAGCUCUGUUGUUGGGGACGAAGGGUUAGGGGUUAAUAGCCCCGAGCCUGACGGUACCCUUUGAGGAAGCCCCGGCUAACUACGUGCCAGUAGCCGCGGUAAUACGUAGGGGGCGAGCGUUGUCCGGAAUUAUUGGGCGUAAAGAGCGUGUAGGCGGUUCGGUAAGUCUGCCGUGAAAACCCAGGGCUCAACCCUGGGCGUGCGGUGGAUACUGCCGGGCUAGAGGGUGGUAGAGGCGAGUGGAAUUCCCGGUGUAGCGGUGAAAUGCGCAGAUAUCGGGAGGAACACCAGUAGCAUCGGGAGGAACACCAGUAGCGAAGGCGGCUCGCUGGGCCAUACCUGACGCUGAGACGCGAAAGCGUGGGGAGCAAACAGGAUUAGAUACCCUGGUAGUCCACGCCGUAAACGAUGACACUAGUGUGGGGCGGAGUCGAUCUGUCCGUGCCGCAGCCAACGCGAUAAGUGUCCGCCUGGGGGAGUACGGCGCAGGCUAACUCAAAGAUGAACCGGGCCGCACAAGCCAGCGGGAGCU